RNAcentral lists this long non-coding RNA (286 nucleotides) under Vigna radiata. RNAcentral describes it as "long non-coding RNA (VRAD_LNC006181)". Lineage: Eukaryota; Viridiplantae; Streptophyta; Magnoliopsida; Fabales; Fabaceae. The record is from RNAcentral.
ACUUACCUAGAUAUCCUUAGAAGACUCAUUAGUGGGUAUAGAGGGAGGAGGAGAAUGUUGUGUAAUUUCAUGUUACAUGAUUACAUUUGGGAAAAUUUCAUGAUCCAUUUGGCACGCAUCCUCAUUUUGUAAAUUCAUCCCAUUAUUUUCUCUUAACUAUUUUUCACUAGAACUUUUAGCACCUCUAUAUGCAUCAAUUAACUCCUUUUAUUUACAUUGGCUCUUUUGGGUACCUCUGUAAAUUUUCCACCAACACCUACUUCAUCUUCACCAUACUUCUCCCCCU